AGCUCCUUCCGUAUAGAGUUGGUGUGAGGCUUAACUGGGUCAAUAAUGAACUGUGUGACCCCAGAGUAAGUGCUACACUACAAAAUCAAUGCAGCACGAGGAGUGAUGCCGAGGAGUCUACGCGCUGCUGUGGCGUCAGGGUGAACCGAGGUGCAGGAAUUCAAUUCAGGUGUGUACCACAGUCAACUGGGACAGCCUGUGUGCAUGCAUCUCUUCCCAGCUCUGUGUUCAGCGACGCCAUGUUGUUAGCUUGAAACUGGCUGUGGUGGGAAACCAAGGAAAUUUGCAAAUGCCACACAUCAAGGACUUCUGCAUUCCAAUGAAGAGAAUGAGUGAAAGAAUUCAGGAAAUGCAGUGUAAGUGGGUUGAAGCAGGAAAAUGGAACGUGUCACAUCAAGACAGACCCUGAAACUGGAAAAAGCAGCUGAGGAGUCCAUAUUCCUGCCGUGGAGAUAGUCAGCCUAAUCUCCGUGUAGAUUUGUUUGUACUUCCAGGAAAGAGUUGGGCACAAGUCAUCUUUUACUUAAUUAGUACUCCACUUCUGGAGCCCCGUCUGAGGUGGACUGGUCAAAAUUAGAUUGGGGAUUACUCCUGUCCUUCAAGUCCAGGCAGGUCUGGUUCAUCGCAUUCUGGCAUCUUUUUCUGGUAGGUUGAAACCCUCUAUUGUGAUAG
Molecule: non-coding RNA, 672 nt
Organism: Leptonychotes weddellii (Weddell seal)
Lineage: Eukaryota; Metazoa; Chordata; Mammalia; Carnivora; Phocidae
Source: RefSeq, a predicted model, not a curated record